GGAAAGAUGGCGGAAUUGGUAGACGCAAUGAGGGUUAUAAGUUGAAACGCCCGUGACGUGUGAAUAGUAUCCUAAUAGCACGCAACUUCAGGUUCGAAUCCUGCUCUUUCCA
Molecule: transfer RNA, 112 nt
Filed under: Sphingobacterium paludis
Lineage: Bacteria; Pseudomonadati; Bacteroidota; Sphingobacteriia; Sphingobacteriales; Sphingobacteriaceae
Description: tRNA-Thr
Rfam family: tRNA
About the family: Transfer RNA (tRNA) molecules are approximately 80 nucleotides in length. Their secondary structure includes four short double-helical elements and three loops (D, anti-codon, and T loops).
Source: RNAcentral